This 500-nucleotide ribosomal RNA is filed under the name uncultured bacterium. Its description in RNAcentral is "partial 16S ribosomal RNA". It matches the Rfam family "Bacterial small subunit ribosomal RNA", at positions 29 to 523 of the family's 1533-position model. The record is from RNAcentral.
AUUGAACGCUGGCGGCAUGCCUUACACAUGCAAGUCGAACGGCAGCGCGGACUUCGGUCUGGCGGCGAGUGGCGAACGGGUGAGUAACACAUCGGAACGUGCCCUGUUGUGGGGGAUAACUAGUCGAAAGAUUAGCUAAUACCGCAUACGACCUGAGGGUGAAAGUGGGGGACCGCAAGGCCUCACGCAGCAGGAGCGGCCGAUGUCUGAUUAGCUAGUUGGUGGGGUAAAGGCCCACCAAGGCGACGAUCAGUAGCUGGUCUGAGAGGACGAUCAGCCACACUGGGACUGAGACACGGCCCAGACUCCUACGGGAGGCAGCAGUGGGGAAUUUUGGACAAUGGGGGCAACCCUGAUCCAGCAAUGCCGCGUGUGUGAAGAAGGCCUUCGGGUUGUAAAGCACUUUUGUCCGGAAAGAAAUCGCGCUGGUUAAUACCUGGCGUGGAUGACGGUACCGGAAGAAUAAGCACCGGCUAACUACGUGCCAGCAGCCGCAGUAA